GGUUAAUUGUCAUAUGCUUUAGUGGUUUCUUACUAGUAAUACAGGGCAACGCUACACUGUUUUUUCUUGUGGGUGUUCUAGCCGCAAGUCUCAUGGGCCUGUACUUCUUUUACGUUGACUUCCUGAAACCUGGCAAUGUGAGAGAGAGGAAGGAAGACCCUAUCACGACGGAAGAUCUAGCAUCUAUCAAUUGGUUCUCACAAAAAAAAAGCCUGGAAUUACCAAGGACAGCAUUAAAAGAAAAGCAUCACAUCCGCUAAGGAACUAUCUAUGAACCUAAACAGUAACUCAGUCAUACUUUAUUUCAUGUAUAAUUACUUCUCAUUUAUGCAUUCCAUGUGUAGUGGUAAUAAACUCUAGAUACUACAAACUUUCAAUCCUUAAAACUGUAAAAAUUCUUUUGCUUCUGAGAGAUUUAAUCGUCAUUGUUCUGAACUCUAAAGACACUUGACAAUAUUCUACUACUACUACUACUACUAAUAAUAAUAAUAAUAAUAAUUCGAUGUGAUUGGUGUUUUGGUGCAUCUACGUGGAUUUCCAAUGUUUGGUUAUUUCCUUAUAUUUCUGACAGAAAAUGGAAGUUUGUCCAAGUUUAUUCUUACAGUAUGUAAUAAUGCUAAGUAAUAAUAUUAAUAUCAAGAUU
Molecule: long non-coding RNA, 643 nt
Organism: Astyanax mexicanus (Mexican tetra)
Lineage: Eukaryota; Metazoa; Chordata; Actinopteri; Characiformes; Acestrorhamphidae
Exons: 3
Source: RefSeq, a predicted model, not a curated record